GGACAAGUAGCUCAACUGGUUAGAGCACCCCGGUCACAUCGGGGAGGUUGUGAGUUCAAGUCCCACCUUGUCCACCA
This 77-nucleotide transfer RNA is filed under the name Patescibacteria group bacterium. RNAcentral describes it as "tRNA-Val". It matches the Rfam family "tRNA". From Rfam's summary of the family: Transfer RNA (tRNA) molecules are approximately 80 nucleotides in length. Their secondary structure includes four short double-helical elements and three loops (D, anti-codon, and T loops). The record is from RNAcentral.